This is a long non-coding RNA of Balaenoptera acutorostrata (minke whale), 1177 nucleotides long. RefSeq lists it as uncharacterized. Lineage: Eukaryota; Metazoa; Chordata; Mammalia; Artiodactyla; Balaenopteridae. The transcript is spliced from 3 exons. The record is from RefSeq and is a predicted model, not a curated record.
AGGCAGUCCCCUACCCAGAGAGUACAGCGGAUGCCAGCAGCCCUGUCCCUAAGCGGACCGUCCAUCUCCGCCUCUGAAGCAAAUGGGCGGUAUCCCCACUUUACAAGCAAGGAGAGAGAGUUGUUUCCGAGAGACUUCCACAGUGCAGCAAGUUCCGGGGAAGUUGGCUUCACCUGACAGAUGAGGCAUCGUGCCUUGUAUCUCACAAAUGCUCAAAAAAUGCUGACGGGCGAGUGAAUGGCGCAGUCAGCGAGCUCAAGUUGAAAUGGCAGGCCUUCAAGUGUUAGUUGGGGGCUGUUGAGAACUUUGGAGAUGAAGAAAUCGAGAUUUACAGAGAUUAAGUAACUUGAUGACAGUCAUAAAACUAGUAAGUGAUGAAGCUGGGGUCUGAAACCACGUCUAACUCCGACGUCUCUGCUUUUCCCAUGGUAACACCCUGCCUCUCUGAUGAAGGAAAAUGAAGUCAAAACAACCCUGAGAUUGUAAGUCUGAGUCUAGGAAUACCUGAUGAUUGUGGACAGCAGCCAGGAACCGGGAAAGGGGGACCUUUCUGAAGAGGAAGACUUCCGGAUUUUGGUUUUUGUUUUAUUUAUGAAUCUCCAAAUUUUAAAAAUCUGUAUGCCGGUGGGGUGAUAUCCACGUGGGCGUAUCCUAUAGACAGUUGGAAAUCUCUGGGGAGAGGGGAGGAGGACAGGGACGGACAUGCAUUGAGAAGUCAUCUGUGGACAGGUGGCAGGUGUCUGAAAAUGUAGGUGUUGAAGUCAAACACAAGGGGGAUGGACAGAGUGUUUUGGGAGUCCCACAGCUAAUGGCAGUGGGGCCAGGGAAAAGCAAGGGGCAGCAGGGCCACCUACACACACAGAUGGUCACAGGCACACGUGGUCGCUCUGGGCAUAGUGCCUCCUAGUGCCAGCUGAGAUAAUCCCCCUUCAGUUCUGUUCUGGAAACAUACUCAUUUUUCAAGGCACGACUCAAAUUUCCACAACCCCUCUUAGACUAUACACUUGUUCAACUCUAACACCCAUAUGGUUGGCAUCACGUUUGGCACCUAAUAGGUGCUAAAUGAAUAUUUGUUGAGCUGAAUUAAACAAUUAAAGAGAGAAAAGCUAUAUGGAGAUGGUAGUUAAUUAUUUUUUUCUGAGCCAUAUCUUCUUAAUUUGUGAGAUGAAUAAUUAUU